Molecule: long non-coding RNA, 598 nt
Organism: Prionailurus viverrinus (fishing cat)
Lineage: Eukaryota; Metazoa; Chordata; Mammalia; Carnivora; Felidae
Exons: 3
Source: RefSeq, a predicted model, not a curated record
CUCUCUGAACGGCUGUUUCUCCUUCACUUAAAAAACAAAACAACAAAGCUAUUCGCUCAGGAAGUAAAUUCCCACGCCAGGCACUCGUUCUGGGUUACAGUGCAGAGAGACUGCCAUCAGUGAGGAAGCGGGUCCCCUCAUGAAUCUGCCAGCCCUGUGAUCUUGGACUUGCCAGCCUCUAGAGAUGUGAAAACUAAAGUGUAACAACCGUAUGAUGAGAGCCAAAGAUCUAACAUGGGGCCCAGCCCUCCCACUCUCAAUGCUGUGUUACCUCGAGCCAGUCAGGCAACCUCUCUGGGCCUCCAUUUUAGCAUCUGUAAGACAGCAGCAUUGAACUAGAUCAUCCGGGAUGUUUUCUCUGUGUUUUCUCUGACACUGAGUGUACAAAGUCCACCAGUAUGAAGCGUGAUGUUGACUCUCCCUAACAUCUGAGAAAGGCGAGGUGGGGGAGGGGACAAAACAAAUGUGCAUUUCCCUAUGGGACCCCGUUUACCGGUGACACCGGAAAGAAGCUUUGCACUUGAAUGCUGCUCUCAUCUCCCACUGAUGUUCAGUCUCCAGCUCUGCCUUUUCAUGGCAGCGGGACUUUGAGCCAGAU